CCUACGGGAGGCAGCAGUAGGGAAUUUUCGGCAAUGGGGGGAACCCUGACCGAGCAACGCCGCGUGAACGAAGAAGUUAUUCGUAAUGUAAAGUUCUUUUAACAGGGAAGAAAGAGAAAUUUGACGGUACCUGAAGAAUAAGCUCCGGCUAACUACGUGCCAGCAGCCGCGGUAAUACGUAGGGAGCGAGCGUUAUCCGGAAUUAUUGGGCGAAAAGGGUGCGUAGAUGGCAUAGUAAGUCUUUUGUAAAAAUGCUGGGCUCAACCCAGUAGGGCAAAAGAUACUGCAAGGCUAGAGUAUGACAGAGGCAAGUGGAAAUACAUGUGUAGCGGUAAAAUGCGUAAAUAUAUGUAAGAACACCAGUGGCGAAGGCGGCUUGCUGGGUCGAUACUGACAUUGAGGCACGAAAGCGUGGGGAGCAAACAGGAUUAGAUACCCGUGUAGUC
RNAcentral lists this ribosomal RNA (446 nucleotides) under uncultured bacterium. RNAcentral's name for it is "partial 16S ribosomal RNA". It matches the Rfam family "Bacterial small subunit ribosomal RNA", at positions 338 to 795 of the family's 1533-position model. The record is from RNAcentral.